RNAcentral lists this long non-coding RNA (326 nucleotides) under Elaeis guineensis (African oil palm). RNAcentral describes it as "long non-coding RNA (EGUI_LNC051600)". The record is from RNAcentral. Lineage: Eukaryota; Viridiplantae; Streptophyta; Magnoliopsida; Arecales; Arecaceae.
UGGCAAGCCAUGAUGAGGGCCGCUACCCUGCUCCACUCUCUGCAAUGGAUUCCACAUGGCUCCACCACUCUCUAGCAAGCCACGACGAGGGCCGCUACCCUGCUCCACUCUCUGCAAUAGAUUCCAUGUGGCUCCACUACUCUCUGGCAAGUCGUGACAAUGGCCACCACUCCACUCUCUGUAACCAACUCCACGUGGCCCUGAGCGACCCCUGACGCCACUACUUUCCAUAACAAACUCCAAGCAGCUCUGAACAACCCACGACUAGGUGGUUACAGACGUCGCUGUCAAUCGGUUACGCUAUCCGUCUAUAAAUAAGGACCCUC